CAGCAUCAACCGGGGGUGUGAAGAAGUUUCUGAGCAGCCCUGGACUCCACAGGUGUCAAGGUCAGAAACGGGGCAAGGACUGAAGGAGAGGAGAGCUCAGGUUGACUGAGGCUCCAGGGUUCCCCGACACCCCGAUGAACUUGCCUGACUCUGCACUGGGUCGAGGACUCUUCCAGGCAACCUCCCUUCUCUGUUCAUCCCUUGGAUUCAGACUUGCAUCAAGAUUUGCUCUUCUCCCAGCCUUUCUGGCUCCUUCGCCAUGUCUUCUCACAAGGGUUACUCCUAACAAAUUCCUGGCAUUAUCAUGCUGUACUGGGUCUGCUCCCCACAAACACUGAAACACCAAUGGCAUCAGGAAUGGCCCAAGAAUUCAGGCAGAAAGAUGGGGAUUGGGGAAGAGCUCACACACUGCCUGGCAGACCAGGAGUCCACCGACCACGCUGGAAGGUGGGACACAAAGGGCGGCUGAAUUGCUGCAGGUGUUGCUGGAGAGAAGCCAAUCGGCGUCGCCGCGGUUCCCGGCUUGUCGGUGCCACGGAUCCACCGGAACUUAGAUUCUCGAGACCCCAGGAAUGCGAGUCGAAAUACCGCAAAAUACUCCUCCUGCUGCUGUCGGUCCCGUGA
This 624-nucleotide long non-coding RNA is filed under the name Mustela putorius furo (domestic ferret). RNAcentral's name for it is "lncRNA (ENSMPUG00000031096.1)". The record is from RNAcentral. Lineage: Eukaryota; Metazoa; Chordata; Mammalia; Carnivora; Mustelidae.